CAGCCGCCGCGGUAAUACAGAGGGUGCGAGCGUUAAUCGGAUUUACUGGGCGUAAAGCGCGCGUAGGCGGUUACUCAAGUCAGAGGUGAAAGCCCGGGGCUCAACCCCGGAACUGCCUUUGAAACUAGGUGACUAGAAUCUUGGAGAGGUCAGUGGAAUUCCGAGUGUAGAGGUGAAAUUCGUAGAUAUUCGGAAGAACACCAGUGGCGAAGGCGACUGACUGGACAAGUAUUGACGCUGAGGUGCGAAAGCGUGGGGAGCAAACAGGAUUAGAUACCCCUGUAGUCCCUGUCUCUUAUAC
RNAcentral lists this ribosomal RNA (301 nucleotides) under uncultured bacterium. Its description in RNAcentral is "partial 16S ribosomal RNA". It matches the Rfam family "Bacterial small subunit ribosomal RNA", at positions 509 to 807 of the family's 1533-position model. The record is from RNAcentral.